CCUACGGGCGGCUGCAGUGGGGAAUAUUGGGCAAUGGGCGCAAGCCUGACCCAGCAACGCCGCGUGAAGGAAGAAGGCUUUCGGGUUGUAAACUUCUUUUCUCAGGGACGAAGAAAGUGACGGUACCUGAGGAAUAAGCCACGGCUAACUACGUGCCAGCAGCCGCGGUAAUACGUAGGUGGCAAGCGUUAUCCGGAUUUACUGGGUGUAAAGUGCGUGGAGGCGGGGAAGGAAGUCAGAUGGGAAAACCACGGGCUCAACCUGUGGCCUGCAUUUGAAACUGUUAUUCUUGAGUACUGGAGAGGCAGACGGAAUUACUAGUGUAGCGGGGAAAUGCGUAGAUAUUAGGAGGAACACCAGUGGCGAAGGCGGUCUGCUGGACAGCAACUGACGCUGAGGCGCGAAAGCGUGGGGAGCAAACAGGAUUAGAUACCCUUGUAGUC
This 443-nucleotide ribosomal RNA is filed under the name uncultured bacterium. RNAcentral's name for it is "partial 16S ribosomal RNA". It matches the Rfam family "Bacterial small subunit ribosomal RNA", at positions 338 to 795 of the family's 1533-position model. The record is from RNAcentral.